CGGGGAAUUAGGGUUCAAUUCCGGAGAGGGAGCCUGAGAAACGGCUACCACAUCUAAGGAAGGCAGCAGGCGCGCAAAUUACCCAAUUCUAACAGCAUAAGAGAGGUAGUGACAAGAAAUAACAGUACAAGGCAGUUAAAAUGCUUUGUAAUUGGAAUGAUAGAAAUUUAAAUACUUUUUAAAGUAUCAAUUGGAGGGCAAGUCUGGUGCCAGCAGCCGCGGUAAUUCCAGCUCCAAUAGCGUAUAUUAAAAUUGUUGCAGUUAAAAAGCUCGUAGUUGAAUUUUUGCUAAAAAUAACCGGUCUGCUUUUAUUAAUAAAAGUGGUAUCUUGGUGUGUUUUUAGCAAUAAUGUCCUUUGAAAUGUUUUUUACUUUAUUGUAAAAAGCAAUUUUCAGGAUUUUUACUUUGAGAAAAUUAGAGUGUUUCAAGCAGGCUAACGUUUUGAAUACUGCAGCAUGGAAUAAUAAAAUAGGAUUUUAGUUCUACGUUAUUGGUUUUAAGAACUAAAUUAAUGAUUAAUAGGAGCAGUUGGGGGCAUUUGUAUUUAACUGUCA
This 554-nucleotide ribosomal RNA is filed under the name Hepatozoon sp. BT-2016 clade A. Its description in RNAcentral is "bacterial SSU rRNA". It matches the Rfam family "Eukaryotic small subunit ribosomal RNA", at positions 363 to 907 of the family's 1831-position model. Lineage: Eukaryota; Apicomplexa; Hepatozoidae. The record is from RNAcentral.